GCCAUUCUUUAAUACUCUUUCCCUUAGAAAUUUUUUGGCAUUUGUAUUCACAUUUAUUGAUACAGUAUCAAGGAUUUGAUUUUAUACAAGGGGAUUAAAAGAGAAUUGGGUGCUUUUAAAAUAUAUUACGUACAAAACUGUUCUGAAUGAGCAUGCUAUGUACACAUAGGGGUAUAUUAGAAAACUUGUGUUUGUACCACCCAGUCUUGAGGAAAUGAAGGACCACAUGUAAGCUACUAUUUCUUUCUUCCAUAAUGAUCCAUCCGACACAAGAUGCACAUAUAAGAUUGCAGGAACAACUGAGACAAUUCCUCUAUAGAUCACAUGCUUACAUGUAACAUAGCUACUGAAUAAUAAACUUUUGAAGGUAUUUGGCUCUUUUAAAUCACUCUGUCUUGCUUUGGAACUGUUGUUUAUUGUGCAUAUGGCAUAUGGAACAAAAAAUAAAAACAUGAACUUUUUUAAGUACAGAAACCUAUGUUCAUUUCCCCUUAAUACCCAUUAUAGUAUUGGGAACAGAGCUAGUCUUCAAUCUGGACUUGCUGAAAGAAUAAGAUAUUACUUUGACACAGUGUGUUUUAUUGGAGUAUAGGAUAGAGCUCUCCUAACUCUUGCACAUUUAUUUUGAAAAAAAAAAUUAAGUAAUAUUUUAAGACAAAAACCAGAUUUUUUUCUAAUCCUUAGUAUCAUCUAGUAGGCAAUGACACAAAUAUUUAUUUUAAGUGAUAUCCCAAGCACUUGCUUUCUUAAAGCCAAGCAAACAUUUAUCUUUACUCCCUUUACCAGACUUUCUUUAGUAACCAAGAACAGUCUUUCUUCCAUAAUCUCCCAAGCUCUCUACCUUCCUCUGUUAAGAGUGUGCACAAAUUCCAACCCAGAUGAAAAGUCACAUCCUAUGUAGUUAUUUAUUUUAUUCAUAGCCUUAAGAACUAAGUCAGGUCUAAAAAUCUGUUUUUGUCAUUAAUUUUUGUGGGUAUCAGUUUAAAAAAACUUAAUUUGAUUAAUUUAUUUGUACAAUGUUUACAUGUAUAUACAAACAUAUAGUACAUGUAAAAUUUAUCUUGCUGUCUUAAUAACCUAAAGGGGAAUACUAUACCAACUAUAAAUUCAAUAAAGUACAUAUACCACCAACAUAAAUUGGUAAAAGAAAUAAUGGGGGCAAACAGGUCUCUACAGAGUGAUCUUAUAAGGAGUGAAUGAUAUUUCCUUAACUUUAACUCUGAUGAAAUCACAUUUUCUUCUGGUUUAUAGCUUUUUCUACAGUUCUAUUUUCCACAUCUUUUUCAAAUUGCCCUCAACUUUUAAAUUUUAUUCCUUGACUUCUAAUUUAAACCUAAUACAUGAGAAUGAGACAGUUAAACCCCUGGCAAGUUUUUGUAGAGGCACUCCUAGUUUCAUCACCCAGGGCAAGGGGAAAAGCUAUUUUCAAAAUAGGCCAGGUGAAAAUAUAAUAGGGGAAAGUGCAUCUUUUAAAAAUUAAUCUUUCGUCAAUUCAUUCCUUCAGCAAACAUUUAUUGGGCACCUGUUAAGUGCCAAGCAUUAUUCUGGCUGCUAGGGGUACACACGUGGAAGAGAAAAUGAUCUCUGCCAGAAUGCUACUUGGAGGAGACAAUACAUGAGAAAAUAUGUGUAAAGUGAAAAGCGCUAUAAAGAAGGGGAGCAAGAGGAAGGUGGUUACAAUUUCACAUAUGGUGGGCAGAGAGGGCCUUUACUGAGAAGGCGAUGUUUGAGCAAAGGAGUCAGGGAUGUAUGUGGGAGAAUUGUGCAUGCAGAGGGGAUUAAGUACAGAAGCCUUGAGCUGGUAACACACUUGGUGUGGAUGAAGCAGAGUGAGUAGGUGGGGAGGUUGGAGAGCUUCCAAAGGGCCCUGGACAUUGAAGCACAUUGUAAGGAUUUGACUUUAUUCUGAUUGAGAUAGGGAACCAUUGAUGGGGUUUGAGUAGUGUUAUGGCAUGAUAUGGCUUUCGGUUUAAAUGAUCACUCACUGUGGUGGUCAGAGGCUAUUCUAGAAAAUCUGUCAUAAAGUUGUGCCUUGGACCCAGGUGGUAGUGAUGGG
Molecule: long non-coding RNA, 2056 nt
Filed under: Marmota monax (woodchuck)
Lineage: Eukaryota; Metazoa; Chordata; Mammalia; Rodentia; Sciuridae
Source: RNAcentral